RNAcentral lists this long non-coding RNA (741 nucleotides) under Medicago truncatula (barrel medic). RNAcentral's name for it is "long non-coding RNA (MTRU_LNC002280)". Lineage: Eukaryota; Viridiplantae; Streptophyta; Magnoliopsida; Fabales; Fabaceae. The record is from RNAcentral.
AGCUUCAUCAAGUUUAUGGUCAAGAUUAUGUUGUAUUCUGGGAAAGUUGCGCAAUUUGAAUAUACUUUUUUAGUUCAGCAACUACACUUAUACACAUCAGUUCAUCACUACCAACAAUCUAAGAUAUAAUGGUUGGAGACGAUUCUGACUGACUAUAGCAACAAGGUCGAUGAUUCCACCUCUUCCGUAGUUAUCGACACUAGCACGGUGGUUACUUGUUAUACUUGGCUUAGAACAAAAUACAGCAUCGACAUGUUUAUGGUCGAGAACAAAAUACAGCGCUGCAUGUUUACACUUCUCAGGUUUAUUAUUUUCCAUUCAUCCGCAACAACAACUUAAGAAAUUAUGGCUGGAGGCCAUUGUGACUAUGACAACAAGGUCGAUGGUUCCACUUCUUCGGAAGUUAGCAACACGAAGACAAUGAUUACUUACAUCAAACAGCUCAUUGAUGUUGCUGGCGUUGAUACUUAUGUCCUCUCUGAUGUUUUACGAGGUUAAAAUGAGGGCAUAUGCUUCAUUUUUUUUUUGUGGUAGUCGGGGAUAUACUUCAUUGCCUCUUGAAUGAAAUAUAUUAAGGAUAAUAUGUUUUUUUUUAAGUUAAAAUGAAAUAUAUUAAUCAAAACUUAGUUUCUCGAGUACUCUCAAGCACAAGGAGUUAGAGCUGUCAAAACGGACGGCCUGGCCUUAAACGGGCCGGCCCUAGCGGGCUUUGGGCUUUAACGGGCCGGGCCAAAAAGCUUG